RNAcentral lists this ribosomal RNA (468 nucleotides) under uncultured bacterium. RNAcentral describes it as "partial 16S ribosomal RNA". It matches the Rfam family "Bacterial small subunit ribosomal RNA", at positions 28 to 507 of the family's 1533-position model. The record is from RNAcentral.
GACGAACGCUGGCGGCGUGCUUAACACAUGCAAGCCGAACGGAAAGGCCCUGCUUUUGUGGGGUGCUCGAGUGGCGAACGGGUGAGUAACACGUGAGUAACCUGCCCUUGACUUUGGGAUAACUUCAGGAAACUGGGGCUAAUACCGGAUAGGAGCUCCUGCUGCAUGGUGGGGGUUGGAAAGUUUCGGCGGUUGGGGAUGGACUCGCGGCUUAUCAGCUUGUUGGUGGGGUAGUGGCUUACCAAGGCUUUGACGGGUAGCCGGCCUGAGAGGGUGACCGGCCACAUUGGGACUGAGAUACGGCCCAGACUCCUACGGGAGGCAGCAGUGGGGAAUAUUGCACAAUGGGCGGAAGCCUGAUGCAGCAACGCCGCGUGCGGGAUGACGGCCUUCGGGUUGUAAACCGCUUUCGCCUGUGACGAAGCGUGAGUGACGGCAAUGGGUAAAGAAGCACCGGCUAACUACGUG